This is a long non-coding RNA of Oncorhynchus kisutch (coho salmon), 2045 nucleotides long. RefSeq lists it as uncharacterized. The transcript is spliced from 3 exons. The record is from RefSeq and is a predicted model, not a curated record. Lineage: Eukaryota; Metazoa; Chordata; Actinopteri; Salmoniformes; Salmonidae.
CACCUGGAUUCACUUGGUGUCUAUGUCAUGGAAAUAUCAGGUGUUCUUACUGUUUUGUAAACUCAGUGUACAUCCCCAUGGUGACUUGAUCUCUAGUCUUGGUCAUAUGCCAACCAAAAAAACGAGUUUGUAAUUUGAUGAUGUCGACCAUAAAUUGUUAUCUUUAUGUAAAGUAUUUAGGAAAUGUUGGAAUUUUUCAAAUGUGUUGGCUCCUACCAGAUCUUAAAACAUAUUUAAAGAUGAACAAUAAAUCAAGAAUAUUAUUGCAUACUAUGCUACAACAUACUUAUUAAAUAUAAUUUACUCAAUGUGCAUAAGUGGAGUCUCCCUUUCAGGUUGCUUGAUUUACAAUAUAGGAACAUAAACACAGUCUUGGUAGGUCCACUCUUUCUAGAAGAAUCUUUCAGCAAGACAACAGAGAGGAGGCUUGAUGAGGUUGACUGACACAAGGGUGUGUUCAAAGAAGGAGGAGAUCAGAUCCUCUUUCUAAACACUCCAGCUACAGUACUUCUCCUCCUGUCUGCUCAUCAAAGCCAAACAAGCCUUGGAGAGGGAGAGAAGGAUUCAAAGAGAAUACUUGUUCCAGAGGAUUCAGAGGAAGAAUUUGAGCAAAAAAGAAGUUGCCCAACACUACAAACUUCAUAUACUUUUUGGAGGACAGAAGGGGGAGGAGAAAGGUUGAAUCAAGCUGCUUCAGUCACUCUGUCCUUGUCAAAUGAGCCAGAAUAUCAUACUGUAUUUGUCUAGUUAAAUCCACUGGCUAUUUUACAUAGCUUUUACAUUAAUCUCGGCACCCAGAACCACAUCAGCUACUCAAUGUUAAGGCUGUCACGAGAGACUUCUUAACCAUAACAGUUUGCAUUAAAUAUCUAUUUUUUCUAUCACAAAAUCCUGUUUCUUAUACAUCUCCGUAAAAGGUUUUCUUAAACAGACAAACACCUUUACCCUUUUACAUAUUUUCAGUGGUAAUGUGGUUCCCAACAGUAUUGGUUACUGUUUCUGGGUAAGAAUAGUAUUAUCUUUCCCCCAACAUCUUUAAAGUAAAAACAGCACAUAAUUUAGACCGUGUAUACUGACCACAGUAUGUUGAUAUAGUUACCUUGCUCUACUGUGACACAUAUCCAUGUUUUUAUAUCUCACUAUCUAUGUAGUUAUGCAUGUGUAACAGAUACAACAUACACAUACCUUUUGUGAUCUUUCUCGUUGAAUUUACAGUAUGGGAAUGUUUAGACUGUUUUCUUUGCCCAGGUGCAGCACCUGACCUCUUCUUCAGCCAGCAGUCCUUGGAUGAGUCCUUCAGUGACACCCGAGAAGUCAAACCAUCUCACUGCUCAAAGGGAUUCGUGGUUGACAAAGACUUUUUCUGGAAUGACAUUCUGAAGGUGUAUGAACGGGACCUACAUCAUUGCCAGCUUGCCUGCACUAACCCUAACCCUACUUCAGCUACGUGGUUAAAGAGUAUAACCUAUUUGAGUAUCUGGGUUGUCUGUUUGAGUGGAGUUCACACUACUUCUUUUGGUAAUUAGUUGAAGGAUGUGGUUAGAGAAAUGUCACCCCUCUCAAAUGCAGAUCUAUGGAUUCAUGCACUGACUAUGCAUGAGAUCAAAAUGAUACGCAGUAUUUGUUAACAAUUACAUUGAUUACAUUGAUUACAUUUAUUUUAAUGUUAAACAGAAAUGACAUAGGAAGUGCAUCUGUCAUGACUUCCGCCGAAGUCGGUCCCUCUUCUUGUUUGGGCGGCGUUCGGCGGUCGACAUCACCGACCUUCUAGCCAUCGCCGAUCCACUUUUCAUUUUCCAUUUGUUUUGUCUUUGGUUUACACACCUGGUUUCAAUUCCCCAACUACAUGUUAAUUAUUCAACCCUAUGUUUUCCCCAUGAUUUUUGUGAGUGAUUGUUUUAUUGUAAGUUCGGUCCGUUGUUCGUGGGCUUGGUAUUUGUUCAUGUAUUUGGAAAAUUUGAGUAAAGUUCAUUGUGUUACUCAUCUCUGCCGUCCUGCGCCUUACUCCUCUGCACCAGCUACACCCAGAACCUUACAGCAUCAGU